GGACCCGCACAAGUAGUGGAGCAUGUGGUUUAAUUCGAAGAUACGCGCAGAACCUUACCAACACUUGACAUGUUCGUCGCGACUUUAAGAGAUUAAAGUUUUCGGUUCGGCCGGACGAAACACAGGUGCUGCAUGGCUGUCGUCAGCUCGUGUCGUGAGAUGUUGGUUAAGUCCCGCAACGAGCGCAACCCUCACUUUUAGUUGCCAUCAUUUAGUUGGGCACUCUGAAAGAACUGCCAGUGAUAAGCUGGAGGAAGGUGGGGAUGACGUCAAGUCCUCAUGGCCCUUACGUGUUGGGCUACACACGUGCUACAAUGGUAUCUACAACAGGAAGCAAAACAGCGAUGUUAAG
This 352-nucleotide ribosomal RNA is filed under the name uncultured bacterium. RNAcentral describes it as "bacterial SSU rRNA". It matches the Rfam family "Bacterial small subunit ribosomal RNA", at positions 917 to 1267 of the family's 1533-position model. The record is from RNAcentral.